Molecule: ribosomal RNA, 464 nt
Filed under: Papiliotrema flavescens
Lineage: Eukaryota; Fungi; Basidiomycota; Tremellomycetes; Tremellales; Rhynchogastremaceae
Description: eukaryotic LSU rRNA
Rfam family: 5.8S ribosomal RNA (bases 87-240)
Source: RNAcentral
GAUUCUACCACCUCUGUGAACCGUUGACCUCCGGGUUAAUAAUCAAACAUCAGUGUAACGAACGUAAGAGUAUCUUAAUUAAACAAAACUUUUAACAACGGAUCUCUUGGCUCUCGCAUCGAUGAAGAACGCAGCGAAAUGCGAUAAGUAAUGUGAAUUGCAGAAUUCAGUGAAUCAUCGAAUCUUUGAACGCACCUUGCGCCUUUUGGUAUUCCGAAAGGCAUGCCUGUUUCAGUGUCAUGAAAUCUCAAUCUAAUAUGUUUUCUGAACAUGUUAGGCUUGGACUUGGGUGUCUGCCAGCAAUGGCUCACCUCAAAUGACUUAGUGGAACAUCCCACAUCAGUGUUAGACGUAAUAAGUUUCGUCUCUCCUUGUGGUGAUGACUGCUCAAAACCUGCCAUCGCGCACCUUUUGACUUUGACCUGAAAUCAGGUAGGGCUACCCGCUGAACUUAAGCAUAUCAA